AAGGCUAUACUUUCAGGGAUCAUUGCUAUAGCUCAUUUCUAGAGAAGUUUCUCUGACUGUGUAGAGUACCAGAAACCGCUAGAAGGCAUAGCGUUCUCUCCUGAGUGUGAAGCAGCUCUUGGUGUUGCUUUGCUACAACUGCCACUUGCCAUUAACGGUCAUUCCUGCUCUCCUUGCCAGAGCUGGAGGGAGAGGAAGCAGUCUGAUCGGC
Small nucleolar RNA from Jaculus jaculus (lesser Egyptian jerboa), 211 nucleotides. RefSeq annotates it as small nucleolar RNA U3. NCBI's taxonomy places the organism in Eukaryota, Metazoa, Chordata, Mammalia, Rodentia, Dipodidae. The transcript has a single exon. The record is from RefSeq and is a predicted model, not a curated record.